This 595-nucleotide ribosomal RNA is filed under the name Debaryomyces hansenii. RNAcentral's name for it is "eukaryotic LSU rRNA". It matches the Rfam family "Eukaryotic large subunit ribosomal RNA", at positions 47 to 658 of the family's 3401-position model. Lineage: Eukaryota; Fungi; Ascomycota; Pichiomycetes; Serinales; Debaryomycetaceae. The record is from RNAcentral.
UAAGCGGAGGAAAAGAAACCAACAGGGAUUGCCUUAGUAACGGCGAGUGAAGCGGCAAAAGCUCAAAUUUGAAAUCUGGCGCCUUCGGUGUCCGAGUUGUAAUUUGAAGAAGGUAACUUUGGAGUUGGCUCUUGUCUAUGUUCCUUGGAACAGGACGUCACAGAGGGUGAGAAUCCCGUGCGAUGAGAUGCCCAAUUCUAUGUAAAGUGCUUUCGAAGAGUCGAGUUGUUUGGGAAUGCAGCUCUAAGUGGGUGGUAAAUUCCAUCUAAAGCUAAAUAUUGGCGAGAGACCGAUAGCGAACAAGUACAGUGAUGGAAAGAUGAAAAGAACUUUGAAAAGAGAGUGAAAAAGUACGUGAAAUUGUUGAAAGGGAAGGGCUUGAGAUCAGACUUGGUAUUUUGCGAUCCUUUCCUUCUUGGUUGGGUUCUCCGCAGCUUACUGGGCCAGCAUCGGUUUGGAUGGUAGGAUAAUGAUUAAGGAAUGUGGCUCUACUUCGGUGGAGUGUUAUAGCCUUGGUUGAUACUGCCUGUCUAGACCGAGGACUGCGUCUUUGACUAGGAUGCUGGCAUAAUGAUCUUAAGCCACCCGUCUUGAA